UACAGAGGUCUCAAGCGUUGUUCGGAUUCAUUGGGCGUAAAGGGUGCGUAGGCGGGUUGGUAAGUCAGUGGUGAAAUCCCCGAGCUUAACUUGGGAACUGCCAUUGAUACUAUCAGUCUUGAAUACCGUGGAGGUCAGUGGAAUAUGUCAUGUAGCGGUGAAAUGCUUAGAUAUGACAUAGAACACCAAUUGCGAAGGCAGCUGGCUACACGAAUAUUGACACUGAGGCACGAAAGCGUGGGGAUCAAACAGG
Molecule: ribosomal RNA, 253 nt
Filed under: uncultured bacterium
Lineage: Bacteria
Description: partial 16S ribosomal RNA
Rfam family: Bacterial small subunit ribosomal RNA
Source: RNAcentral